AAGACCGAUUAUUGUGUAGUCCACCACGAGAAAAAAACUAUCCGCUGGUCCAAAAACAUAUUUUUGGACCAGAAAACUUAUCUUCUAGUCCUAUUCAUGUGCGAGUGAUAUAAAUUGCAUUUUUCAAAAGCCAAAACUACCCUUCCGUAGAAUAAGAUGCAUAACCAAAUUCUAUUUUACUUUCUCUGUAGCUCUUGAAGAAACCUCCGGGGUAUGAAAUGAGGAAAAUUUCUCACUGAAAAAAUCAGAAAAUCUCAUCAACAACAUUGAAAAAGCUAAGCCCUCCACUAAUCUCUCAAAUUUUGAUUUCAGAUCCAACAAGAUCCGCGAAGACAUAUUAUUGAUGGAAAACAUAGUAAUGUUACUUUCGAUGAAUUCCCUUAUUAUCUCAGCUGAAUUUACUGAAUAUAUCCAAGUAUGGGGUGGCAGGAAUGGUGGUGGUAGUAAGAACAAGGAAUCUGCGACCUGUGGUCAUAACAGAUGGAAGCAUUGUGGAUGUUGUUCCGUCGUCAGAUGCCCGCAGAACUCAUGUUAUGUCUCAGAUAAAUGCACAGUUUAUUUAUAGGAAUGAAAGACUCGCAAAAUUUGUGGACAUAAAUAUCUACUGCAGAAUUUGUUCUAUCUAGUAGUCUCCGGACUGCAUCAACAUUCUCCCUCAUUUCUUUGCAAAAGCGACUCAUGUCGAUAGUGCACUUAACAGUAUGGGGGAAUUUAUUGCACUCUCAUCAUUCCUGCAGAAGUUGCACAAUGACGUCCUUGGAAAAUGGAGAUCCAUAGUUUCUAAUGUCGGUCUUUCACUAGUUCUGAUACUCGGUACAUAUUGAUAUGUACUAUGGUUUUACUCAGUACAUAUCGAUAUGUACUGCAGAAUUAUACAAAAUAUUAGAAUUGCAAAGAAGAAGAAAACCAGAAACAUCAACAUAAAUCGUUGGAUGGAGUUGAUUUUCGCAUCUCAAAAGGGAUGAUAUCUCUGUAUCUUACUUGUUCAUUCAUGAGAGAGUACAAUAUCUGUAAACAAUCCAAAUUAAUAGCUAAA
Molecule: long non-coding RNA, 1036 nt
Organism: Papaver somniferum (opium poppy)
Lineage: Eukaryota; Viridiplantae; Streptophyta; Magnoliopsida; Ranunculales; Papaveraceae
Exons: 3
Source: RefSeq, a predicted model, not a curated record